AUGAUGUUGAUUUCUCUUUUAAAACUGCCCUUUAAGGCAGUGCAUUCCAUCAUUAUUUCUUUUUUAAUGCUCAGAACAUACUGGACCUUUAUUAAGCUCGCCACGCUGCUCUAUGGAGGCUUUUGUAUAUGUAAGCAACUGAAAACAUUGACGGAAAUGCCUUGGUAUCUGUAUACAUUGUAUACAAUGUGGCAUACAGCUCCAGAGGAAGCUGCUAAUAUUACAGAACUUGUGAUUUUAAAACCAUCUCCUAGUCUCUCCUUUGAAUCCUUGACGCAUUUUCUGAAUGCCCAUUUGACCAUGUUGUCAAUCUCCUUGAAUGCACUACUCAUCAUUCUAGUCAUUUCACUCAGUAUCUAUAUUUUGAGGAAGCCUUCUCCAAAGCCAGAGGAUACUGAGUGGCAGGGAGUGUGGAGAAAACUGGGAGAGACCUUAGAGAGAUGGGCAUCUCCAGUGUCAUGGAACUUUACUCCUGAACACCUGGAAGAUCCUGAGAGCCUAAGCGAAUAUUUAAGACAGGGAUGUGACAGCUCUGGCAAAUCUGAGGAGGCACAAAUCAUUUGGGGCCUAGCUCAUGCUUAUCGGGCCUUAUUCAAUGCUAUCCCAGAGAGGGAGAGACAGUUUGAAAACAAAAUACAGGGUCUCCAAACCGAAAUACAGGGUCUCCAAAACAAAAUAGAUUGUUUCCAAGCUGAGAGAGAGAGUUUCCAAAGUGAAAGGGAGAGUUUCCGUCAGAAAGUACUGAAUGAGCGAGAGAGUCUCCAAGCCGACAUGCAGAGUUUCGAGGAGUGGGUUCGAGCUGAAAGUGGGAAUCUCCUAACCAGAGAAAGGAAUCUCCGGAUCUGCCAAGAGUGUCUCCAAGCUGAAAAAGAAAUUCUCCAAGCUGAAAAGGAAGAUCUUCGAGCUGAAAGAAAUAAUCUCCGAUCUCAGGAAAACAUCUUCCAGUCGGAAUGGUACACCUUCCAAAAUGAGCGGGACACUCUGCAAUCCAAGCUCGACUCUCUCCAAUCCGAGCGGGACACUCUGCAAUCUGAGCGAGACACCUUCCAAAAUGAGCGGAACACUGCAAUCCAAGCUCGACUGUCUCCAAUCCGAGCGGGACACUCUGCAGUCCAAGCACGACUGUCUCCAAUCCGAGCAGGACACUCUGCAAUCCAAGCUCGACUGUCUCCAAUCCGAGCGAGGCACCUUCCAAAAUGA
This 1200-nucleotide long non-coding RNA is filed under the name Numida meleagris (helmeted guineafowl). RNAcentral describes it as "lncRNA (ENSNMEG00000021805.1)". The record is from RNAcentral. Lineage: Eukaryota; Metazoa; Chordata; Aves; Galliformes; Numididae.